GGCAGCAGUGGGGAAUCUUGCGCAAUGGGCGAAAGCCUGACGCAGCCAUGCCGCGUGAAUGAUGAAGGUCUUAGGAUUGUAAAAUUCUUUCAGCAGGGACGAUAAUGACGGUACCUGCAGAAGAAGCCCCGGCUAACUUCGUGCCAGCAGCCGCGGUAAUACGAAGGGGGCUAGCGUUGCUCGGAUUUACUGGGCGUAAAGGGCGCGUAGGCGGAUCAGCAAGUUGGGGGUGAAAGCCCGGGGCUCAACCUCGGAACUGCCCUCAAAACUGUUGAUCUAGAGUUUGGGAGAGGUGUGUGGAACUCCGAGUGUAGAGGUGAAAUUCGUAGAUAUUCGGAAGAACACCAGUGGCGAAGGCGACACACUGGCCCAAUACUGACGCUGAGGCGCGAAAGCGUGGGGAGCAAACAGGAUUAGAUACCCUGGUAGUCCACGCCGUAAACGAUGAGUGCUAGUUGUCGGCAUGCAUGCAUGUCGGUGACGCAGCUAACGAAUUAAGCACUCCGCCUGGGGAGUACGGUCGCAAGAUUAAAACUCAAAGGAAU
RNAcentral lists this ribosomal RNA (545 nucleotides) under uncultured bacterium. RNAcentral describes it as "bacterial SSU rRNA". It matches the Rfam family "Bacterial small subunit ribosomal RNA", at positions 347 to 910 of the family's 1533-position model. The record is from RNAcentral.